RNAcentral lists this ribosomal RNA (253 nucleotides) under uncultured bacterium. RNAcentral's name for it is "partial 16S ribosomal RNA". It matches the Rfam family "Bacterial small subunit ribosomal RNA", at positions 524 to 776 of the family's 1533-position model. The record is from RNAcentral.
GACAGAGGGUGCAAACGUUGCUCGGAAUCACUGGGCGUAAAGCGCGUGUAGGCGGCUGUUCACGUCGGGUGUGAAAGCCCGGGGCUCAACCCCGGCAGUGCACCCGAAACGAGAGAGCUGGAGUACUGGAGAGGCGGGUGGAAUUCCCGGUGUAGAGGUGAAAUUCGUAGAUAUCGGGAGGAACACCGGUGGCGAAGGCGACCCGCUGGCCAGUAACUGACGCUGAGACGCGAAAGCGUGGGGAGCAAACAGG